AGCUCAGUCAGUUGAGCGUAGCGUUAGCAACGCUAAGGUCGCGGGUUCGAUUCCCGU
Molecule: transfer RNA, 57 nt
Filed under: Apaloderma vittatum (bar-tailed trogon)
Lineage: Eukaryota; Metazoa; Chordata; Aves; Trogoniformes; Trogonidae
Rfam family: tRNA
About the family: Transfer RNA (tRNA) molecules are approximately 80 nucleotides in length. Their secondary structure includes four short double-helical elements and three loops (D, anti-codon, and T loops). Further hydrogen bonds mediate the characteristic L-shaped molecular structure. tRNAs have two regions of fundamental functional importance: the anti-codon, which is responsible for specific mRNA codon recognition, and the 3' end, to which the tRNAs corresponding amino acid is attached (by aminoacyl-tRNA synthetases). tRNAs cope with the degeneracy of the genetic code in two manners: having more than one tRNA (with a specific anti-codon) for a particular amino acid; and 'wobble' base-pairing, i.e. permitting non-standard base-pairing at the 3rd anti-codon position.
Source: Rfam by way of RNAcentral